GCCUUCGUGGUGAAGUGGUCAGCACGCUCGACACUUAUUCAAGAGAUCCAUGGUUCGAGUCCCGGUGAGGACA
This is a non-coding RNA of Stegodyphus mimosarum, 73 nucleotides long. NCBI's taxonomy places the organism in Eukaryota, Metazoa, Arthropoda, Arachnida, Araneae, Eresidae. The record is from Rfam.